GGCUGUAUAGUGUAGUGGUUUAGCACUUGGGAUUUUGAUUUCAAUUAAAGUUCCCACAACCCGGUUCGAACCCGGGUACGGUCA
Molecule: non-coding RNA, 84 nt
Organism: Auriculariales sp. MPI-PUGE-AT-0066
Lineage: Eukaryota; Fungi; Basidiomycota; Agaricomycetes; Auriculariales
Source: the annotation of a GenBank genome assembly